Molecule: ribosomal RNA, 257 nt
Filed under: uncultured Leptotrichia sp.
Lineage: Bacteria; Fusobacteriati; Fusobacteriota; Fusobacteriia; Fusobacteriales; Leptotrichiaceae
Description: partial 16S ribosomal RNA
Rfam family: Bacterial small subunit ribosomal RNA
Source: RNAcentral
GGCGGACGGGUGAGUAACGCGUAAAGAACUUGCCCUUUAGACUGGGAUAACAGAGGGAAACUUCUGAUAAUACUGGAUAAGUUAGUAUAUCGCAUGAUAUGCAAAUGAAAGCUACGGCACUAAAGGAGAGCUUUGCGUCCUAUUAGCUAGUUGGUAAGGUAAGAGCUUACCAAGGCGAUGAUAGGUAGCCGGCCUGAGAGGGUGGACGGCCACAAGGGGACUGAGAUACGGCCCUUACUCCUACGGGAGGCAGCAGC